AUGGGCAAAGGAGACCCUAAGAAGCCAAGAGAGAAAAUGCCAUCAUAUGCAUUUUUUGUGCAAACUUGUAGGGAGGCACAUAAGAACAAACAUCCAGAUGCUUCAGUCAACUCCUCAGAGUUUUCUAAGAAGUGCUCAGAGAGGUGGAAGACCAUGCCUACUAAACAGAAAGGAAAAUUCGAAGAUAUGGCAAAGGCAGACAGGGCCCAUACGAAAGAGAAACGAAAACCUGUAUCUUUCCUAAAGGGGAGACAAAAAAGACGUUCAGGCUGGGUGUGGUGGCUCACGCCUGUAAUCUCAGCACUUUGGGAGGCUGAGGCGGGUAGAUCACCUAAGGUCAGGAGUUCGAGGCCAGCCUGGCCAAGACAGUGAAAGCCCGUCUCUACUGAAAAAAAAAAAAAAAUUGCCAGGCAUGGUGGCGGGCGUCUGUAAUCCCAGCUACUCGGGAGGCUGAGGCAAAAGAAUCGCUUGAACCUGGGAGGCAGAGGUUGCAGUGAGCUGAGAUUGCGCCAUUGCACUCCAGCCUGGGCAACAAAAGGGAAACUCCAUCUCAAAAGAAAAAAAAAAAAGUUAAAGGAUCCCAGUGCACCCAAGAGGCCUCCUUCGGCCUUCUUCCUGUUCUGUUCUGUCCUGUUCUGUUCUGUUCUGAGUAUCGCCCAAAUAUCAAAGGAGAACAUCUGGCCUGUCCACUAAUGAUGUUGCAAAGAAACUGGGAGAGAUGUGGAAUAACAUUGCUGCAGAUGACAGGCAGCCUUAUAAAAAGAAGGCUGCGAAGCUGAAGGAAAAGUAAGAAAAGGAUAUUGCUGCAUAUCGGGCUAAAGGAAAGCCUGCUGCAGCAAAAAAAGGGAGUUGUCAAGGCUGAAAAAAGCAAGAAAAAGAAGGAAGAGGAGGAAGAUGAGGAAGAUGAAGAGGAUAAGAAUGAGGAGGAGGAAGAUGAAGAUGAUGAUGA
This 949-nucleotide long non-coding RNA is filed under the name Homo sapiens (human). Its description in RNAcentral is "non-protein coding lnc-RLBP1-4:1". The record is from RNAcentral. Lineage: Eukaryota; Metazoa; Chordata; Mammalia; Primates; Hominidae.